GGAGCUUGCUCUGGUGGCGAGUGGCGAACGGGUGAGUAAUAUAUCGGAACGUACCCUGGAGUGGGGGAUAACGUAGCGAAAGUUACGCUAAUACCGCAUACGAUCUAAGGAUGAAAGUGGGGGAUCGCAAGACCUCAUGCUCGUGGAGCGGCCGAUAUCUGAUUAGCUAGUUGGUAGGGUAAAAGCCUACCAAGGCAUCGAUCAGUAGCUGGUCUGAGAGGACGACCAGCCACACUGGAACUGAGACACGGUCCAGACUCCUACGGGAGGCAGCAGUGGGGAAUUUUGGACAAUGGGCGAAAGCCUGAUCCAGCAAUGCCGCGUGAGUGAAGAAGGCCUUCGGGUUGUAAAGCUCUUUUGUCAGGGAAGAAACGGUGAGAGCUAAUAUCCCUUGCUAAUGACGGUACCUGAAGAAUAAGCACCGGCUAACUACGUGCCAGCAGCCCGCGGUAAUACGUAGGGUGCAAGCGUUAAUCGGAAUUACUGGGC
Molecule: ribosomal RNA, 489 nt
Filed under: uncultured beta proteobacterium
Lineage: Bacteria; Pseudomonadati; Pseudomonadota; Betaproteobacteria
Description: bacterial SSU rRNA
Rfam family: Bacterial small subunit ribosomal RNA
Source: RNAcentral